RNAcentral lists this ribosomal RNA (363 nucleotides) under Coptotermes formosanus (Formosan subterranean termite). RNAcentral's name for it is "partial large subunit ribosomal RNA". Lineage: Eukaryota; Metazoa; Arthropoda; Insecta; Blattodea; Rhinotermitidae. The record is from RNAcentral.
CUUUUCUUGUUAGUUUUUGAAGUAUGGCCUGCCCGCUGACUUGAGUGUUGAAGGGCCGCGGUAUUUUGACCGUGCAAAGGUAGCAUAAUCAUUAGUUCUUUAAUUGUGAUCUGGAAUGAAUGGCUUGACGAGGCACAAGCUGUCUUAAUGUUGAAUGUUUUAUUGAAUUUGGUUUUUGAGUUAAAAUUCUUAGAUGUUUUUGUGGGACGAGAAGACCCUAUAGAGUUUAACAUUUGGUUUAUUUGUUUGUUUGUUGUUUGUUUGUUUUAUUGGUGAGUGGACUUUUUGUUUUGUUGGGGUGAUGGGAGGAAUAUAAUUAACUCCUCUUGAUUUUGGUUAUAUUGAUUUAUAUUUAUUUGAUCC